AGGUGUGAGAGACUAGCUUUGGGUGGUUUCAGGAGGAGUAGGGGUAGACCGAAGAAAUAUUGGAGGGAGAUGAUUAGGCAUAACAUGGAACAGCUACACCUUACUGAGGACAUGACUCUAGACAGAAAGGUGUGGAGAGCGCGGAUAAGGGUAGAAGGCUAGUGUGAGGGUGUGGGUUGUAGCAAGGUGUUAGGAGAGCGCUAGUGUAGUUGGAUUAGUAACCCUAGGACUGUGUCCUAAUCAAGAGAGAUUGGGUGUGGUGGGUGUCUCUGGGC
RNAcentral lists this long non-coding RNA (275 nucleotides) under Capsicum annuum. Its description in RNAcentral is "long non-coding RNA (CANN_LNC012973)". Lineage: Eukaryota; Viridiplantae; Streptophyta; Magnoliopsida; Solanales; Solanaceae. The record is from RNAcentral.